This 481-nucleotide ribosomal RNA is filed under the name uncultured bacterium. RNAcentral describes it as "partial 16S ribosomal RNA". It matches the Rfam family "Bacterial small subunit ribosomal RNA", at positions 28 to 507 of the family's 1533-position model. The record is from RNAcentral.
GACGAACGUUGGCGGCGUGCUUAAUACAUGCAAGUCAACUGAAGCAGUGGUAGCAAUAUCGCUGUGGAGGUGGCGCACGGGUGUGUAACACGUAGGUAAUCUGCCUUCAGGUCUGGCAUAACUCCGGGAAACCGGGGCUAAUAGCAGAUGAUGCAGCGGCUCGACAUCGAGACAGUUGUUAAAGCUAUGGCGCCUGAAGAUGAGCCUGCGUCUGAUUAGCUAGUUGGCGGGGUAACGGCCCACCAAGGCAACGAUCAGUAGCUGGUCUGAGAGGAUGAUCAGCCACACUGGAACUGAGACACGGUCCAGACCCCUACGGGAGGCAGCAGUAAGGAAUAUUGCUCAAUGGGAGAAAUCCUGAAGCAGCAACGCCGCGUGAGGGACGAAGGGCUUUUGCUUGUAAACCUCUGUAGUGAGAGAAAAAAAUCCCAAUCUUUGGGACAUGAUGGUAUCUCAAAAGUAAGCCCCGGCUAACUACGUG